RNAcentral lists this ribosomal RNA (425 nucleotides) under uncultured rumen bacterium. Its description in RNAcentral is "bacterial SSU rRNA". It matches the Rfam family "Bacterial small subunit ribosomal RNA", at positions 354 to 776 of the family's 1533-position model. The record is from RNAcentral.
GUGAGGAAUAUUGGUCAAUGGGCGGGAGCCUGAACCAGCCAAGUAGCGUGCAGGAUGACUGCCCUAUGGGUUGUAAACUGCUUUUAUGCGGGGAUAAAGUGAGGGACGCGUCCCUUUUUGUAGGUACCGCAUGAAUAAGGACCGGCUAAUUCCGUGCCAGCAGCCGCGGUAAUACGGAAGGUCCGGGCGUUAUCCGGAUUUAUUGGGUUUAAAGGGAGCGCAGGCCGAUGGUUAAGCGUGACGUGAAAUGUAGCCGCUCAACGGCUGAACUGCGUCGCGAACUGGCUGUCUUGAGUGAGUACGACGUCAGCGGAAUUCGUGGUGUAGCGGUGAAAUGCUUAGAUAUCACGAAGAACCCCGAUUGCGAAGGCAGCUGACGAGUCCUUUACUGACGCUAAAGCUCGAAGGUGCGGGUAUCGAACAGG